Molecule: long non-coding RNA, 514 nt
Filed under: Nicotiana benthamiana
Lineage: Eukaryota; Viridiplantae; Streptophyta; Magnoliopsida; Solanales; Solanaceae
Description: long non-coding RNA (NBEN_LNC007024)
Source: RNAcentral
GGACAUUUGACAAAAAUUGAGUCUCCUAUUAAUUCCAAACCAAAUUCAGCCCUUAAGGGACACUAUCACCAACCAGCAGGAGAACAUAUGCAUUAUACAACUAAGGAUUUAAAAUAGGAACAAAGCUAAACUACUACAAAGAGAACAGAUUGACACUAUGCUCCAAAGCUCCAGAUUUCCAUCACACUCGAAUCAGGCUUUACAUUUAGGUGGAGUUAAAGAACAUGUACCUGAAUACAACAAUAUACACCAGAAAACUUAGUUAGAAGCUAAGAAGAAGCAGCAGCAGAGGUUCAACAAGGAGAAAUGAACAGCAGGAUCAACCCAGAAAGUCAGCAAUGGAAUAGUAGUUAAGCAACCCUCAAAUCAUCUUCCAAAACCAGAAUAAUCAACCAAUUUUAGGGUUUCAAAAUUGAAAGAAUAGGCUGCAAGAUUAAGCCAAUUUUCACCCAAAAUGCCAAAAUUUCAAGUAUUUCUUCAUUCAGCCAUUUCAAGUUUUUUUCUGGACUUUUAU